UACAGUGUAAACGGGGUGGGUAUCAAUCGUCUACGCGGUGGGUCCACUGUUUUAGGGUUUGCAGAGUUUCCAUUUUACUUUUCAUUUCCGAUCCACAAUUGAUCCAAAUACAUUAAAUCAUUUCUUCCGUUCUUUCCUCUUUGCAAUUCGCCACAUUCAAAGAUAUCAUUCAAUAACUUCGUGCCACCUGUUAAAUUCAUUCCGAGGAAUUCGUUCCUUUGUACUUAUCCAGCAUGCAGGCUUCGCGGGCUAGGCUGUUCAAGGAGUACAAAGAGGUGCAGCGAGAGAAGGCGGUUGAUCCUGAUAUUCAACUGGUGUGUGAUGAUUCUAAUAUUUUUAAAUGGACGGCUCUCAUUAAGGGACCCUCUGAGACUCCUUUUGAGGGGGGUGUAUUCCAACUUGCUUUUUCUGUUCCGGAACAGUAUCCUCUGCAACCGCCUCAAGUCCGGUUUUUGACUAAAAUAUUUCACCCGAAUGUGCAUUUUAAGACCGGGGAGAUUUGCCUAGAUAUCUUGAAAAAUGCUUGGAGCCCAGCUUGGACACUUCAAUCUGUCUGUAGGGCUAUAAUUGCUUUGAUGGCUCAUCCAGAACCUGACAGCCCACUGAAUUGUGAUUCAGGCAAUCUUCUGCGUUCAGGUGAUGUUAGAGGGUACCAGUCCAUGGCAAGAAUGUACACCAGGCUUGCAGCAAUGCCAAAGAAAGGCUGAAUGAUUUCAGAUAACUUGUUUCCUAUGUUUGUUUAGGUGACAAGAAGCGGUAGAUACAGAGUGUAGGUGUGACUUCGCAUAUCUUGAUUCAUGCCAGAAUUGAGCUCAACAUAUUCAAAUAAUCCUUGUGCUUUAUUUGUAUGAAAGUCAGGUUUUGAGCUUGCAUUCCAUAAUUUGAGUCAGGAGCAGCAUAUUGUGCAGUCCAAUUACUUUUCAUGGUUUGAUUCUUCAUGCAUAAUUUAUGCACGGUCUAAUUCUUGGCUCCUUUUGGAGGAAGCUUUUUACUUCUUCCAUGAGGACUAACCAUCUGAUUAUUAAUGGGACUGGGGUUCCCAUGUAUGAUGGUCGUGAUCUCCUCGGAGGAAGAAACUUUUUGGAGGGCACUGCGUAUAUCAGCACUCACUGAAAUUUUCCCCAAUCUAAGAGGAUGGGAGAUACCAUACACUAAUUUAAAACACUCGCACAUUGGAAGACACGUUGAUUAUAACAUACGUGUACGCGAUAUACACAUUGGAAAAAUUCUUGCGUAAGAUGCACUACGUCAAUUAUUGAUGCAUUAUUGAUUAAUGAUUAAAUAAGUAAUGUUUAG
Molecule: RNA transcript, 1296 nt
Organism: Abrus precatorius (Indian licorice)
Lineage: Eukaryota; Viridiplantae; Streptophyta; Magnoliopsida; Fabales; Fabaceae
Gene name: protein PEROXIN-4
Exons: 7
Source: RefSeq, a predicted model, not a curated record